GUGGGGAAUAUUGGGCAAUGGGCGCAAGCCUGACCCAGCAACGCCGCGUGAAGGAAGAAGGCUUUCGGGUUGUAAACUUCUUUUACCAGGGACGAAACAAAUGACGGUACCUGGUGAAUAAGCCACGGCUAACUACGUGCCAGCAGCCGCGGUAAUACGUAGGUGGCGAGCGUUAUCCGGAUUUAUUGGGUGUAAAGGGCGUGUAGGCGGGACAGCAAGUCAGAUGUGAAAACCAGAGGCUCAACCUCUUGCCUGCAUUUGAAACUGUUGUUCUUGAGUGUCGGAGAGGUAAUCGGAAUUCCGUGUGUAGCGGUGAAAUGCGUAGAUAUACGGAGGAACACCAGUGGCGAAGGCGGAUUACUGGACGAUAACUGACGCUGAGGCGCGAAAGCGUGGGGAGCAAACAGGAUUAGAAACCCGGGUAGUCC
This 428-nucleotide ribosomal RNA is filed under the name uncultured bacterium. RNAcentral's name for it is "partial 16S ribosomal RNA". It matches the Rfam family "Bacterial small subunit ribosomal RNA", at positions 354 to 796 of the family's 1533-position model. The record is from RNAcentral.